Molecule: ribosomal RNA, 466 nt
Filed under: uncultured bacterium
Lineage: Bacteria
Description: partial 16S ribosomal RNA
Rfam family: Bacterial small subunit ribosomal RNA
Source: RNAcentral
GAUGAACGCUGGCGGCGUGCUUAACACAUGCAAGUCGAACGAUGAAGCCCAGCUUGCUGGGUGGAUUAGUGGCGAACGGGUGAGUAACACGUGAGUAACCUGCCCUUAACUCUGGGAUAAGCCUGGGAAACUGGGUCUAAUACCGGAUAGGAGCGCCUACCGCAUGGUGGGUGUUGGAAAGAUUUAUCGGUUUUGGAUGGACUCGCGGCCUAUCAGCUUGUUGGUGAGGUAAUGGCUCACCAAGGCGACGACGGGUAGCCGGCCUGAGAGGGUGACCGGCCACACUGGGACUGAGACACGGCCCAGACUCCUACGGGAGGUAGCAGUGGGGAAUAUUGCACAAUGGGCGAAAGCCUGAUGCAGCGACGCCGCGUGAGGGAUGACGGCCUUCGGGUUGUAAACCUCUUUCAGUAGGGAAGAAGCGAAAGUGACGGUACCUGCAGAAGAAGCACCGGCUAACUACGUG